Molecule: ribosomal RNA, 253 nt
Filed under: uncultured prokaryote
Description: partial 16S ribosomal RNA
Rfam family: Bacterial small subunit ribosomal RNA
Source: RNAcentral
UACGGAGGGUGCGAGCGUUAUCCGGAUUUACUGGGCGUAAAGCGCGUGUAGGUGGUUUGGUAAGUAGGGCGUGAAAGCUCCUGGCUCAACUGGGAGAGGCCGUUCUAAACUGCCGAACUAGAGGAUGGUAGAGGGAGGUGGAAUUCCGGGUGUAGCGGUGGAAUGCGCAGAUAUCCGGAGGAACACCAGUGGCGAAAGCGGCCUCCUGGACCAUUCCUGACACUCAGACGCGAAAGCUAGGGUAGCAAACGGG